CCAGAAUUCAUAAAUGUUGGAGAAUGGUUUAACCAUAAUUUUCCACAAUAAUCAUUUCUUAUUACUAGAAACAUUCUAAAAUCCCUUGACUACAAACAGUUCAUAAGCAAGCACAACAAACAUUGCAACACAAUACUUUAUUCAACUAAAUUUAUGUAAUCAUAAUUAAAAACAUAAGACUUGCUGCCUCUUUAAUCUACUGAGUUCUAGCCCCAAACUUGCAAUUAGAUGAGUUCAAUUCGACUGCCUCUUACUCCAAUCCCUCUUCUAAUUUGGUUAUAGACUUGAUUCUCAAAGAAUUCGGCUAUAUCCUUAACAAUAACUUGAUGGAUUAUUAUGCUUUAGUAAUAUGGAGAUGUGAAGACCCAAGUAGCUAAAGAGAGAUGAAAAACGAAAAUGAAGAGGAAUAAGAAUAUUCAGGAUAGUUUUGUUUUGAUUACUUAGCUCUCCUUAGCUUUACCAUUACAUGCUUAGUGUCCCACUAGUCUUAACAAGCUUCCAGCUC
RNAcentral lists this long non-coding RNA (505 nucleotides) under Panax ginseng (ginseng). RNAcentral describes it as "long non-coding RNA (PGIN_LNC005644)". Lineage: Eukaryota; Viridiplantae; Streptophyta; Magnoliopsida; Apiales; Araliaceae. The record is from RNAcentral.